AUUGAACGCUGGCGGAAUGCUUUACACAUGCAAGUCGAACGGCAGCACGGGGCAACCUGGUGGCGAGUGGCGAACGGGUGAGUAAUACAUCGGAACGUGCCCAAUCGUGGGGGAUAACGUAGCGAAAGUUACGCUAAUACCGCAUACGAUCUACGGAUGAAAGCGGGGGAUCGCAAGACCUCGCGCGAAUGGAGCGGCCGAUGUCAGAUUAGGUAGUUGGUGGGGUAAAGGCUCACCAAGCCAACGAUCUGUAGCUGGUCUGAGAGGACGACCAGCCACACUGGAACUGAGACACGGUCCAGACUCCUACGGGAGGCAGCAGUGGGGAAUUUUGGACAAUGGGCGCAAGCCUGAUCCAGCCAUUCCGCGUGCAGGAUGAAGGCCUUCGGGUUGUAAACUGCUUUUGUACGGAACGAAACGGCGAGCUCUAAUACAGUUUGCUAAUGACGGUACCGUAAGAAUAAGCACCGGCUAACUACGUG
RNAcentral lists this ribosomal RNA (482 nucleotides) under uncultured bacterium. Its description in RNAcentral is "bacterial SSU rRNA". It matches the Rfam family "Bacterial small subunit ribosomal RNA", at positions 30 to 507 of the family's 1533-position model. The record is from RNAcentral.